Molecule: long non-coding RNA, 227 nt
Filed under: Elaeis guineensis (African oil palm)
Lineage: Eukaryota; Viridiplantae; Streptophyta; Magnoliopsida; Arecales; Arecaceae
Description: long non-coding RNA (EGUI_LNC023857)
Source: RNAcentral
CUGGCAUCGGUCAGAAGCUCUUUCGUCUGUGCGUAUAUAUUUGUAUGCACGCUCCAGAAGUUCGGCAUAAGUCCGAGGGAGAGUUUUGUCCAAAAAAUAUAUGAAUCGAGAUCCCUUCAGAUCUCUUUUCAUGGUCGAUAUGGCCAUGUUUUCAUUGAGAUCCUUGACCUCAAGCGUGGCUGCAUGAAAACGGACCACAAAAUCUCGAAGUAUCUCAAUCUUUCCUU